This is a long non-coding RNA of Mugil cephalus (flathead mullet), 611 nucleotides long. RefSeq lists it as uncharacterized. The record is from RefSeq and is a predicted model, not a curated record. The transcript has 5 exons. Lineage: Eukaryota; Metazoa; Chordata; Actinopteri; Mugiliformes; Mugilidae.
CUUCGGCAAAAUAUCCUUUCCCACAAUGCACAGCGGCAUCUGCCUUUCAUAAGUCUCUGCACGACUUCCGCCCUCUCUCUGUCGGCUGGAGCCAUGUGGGAUGUGUAACGGAUGGAGUCACUGCUAAACUUGUCAGAGAUGAUGGCUUUCCUGAUGAUGAAACCACAUGGCAGAGCUUUAGACACCGGAUAGUGAGAUAAAGCACUUGCCCCAGAAUAAAGGCAGCACUGUGGAGAUGCUCCUGGAGGAGCAGGGUCAUGCUGCAGGCUGACUUGAGCAGCAUGUGGCGAAUGGUGUGUGAUGAUCGGAGAAUGACUGCAGGGUAAUCCAGCUAGGUUGGUCUGGAUGAGUGGAUACAUCUGACUGCUUGCUGAGAGGUGACGGGGCUGCUCGGUCAUCAGUACAUCACCCUGGUUCAUGUCUGCUCAGCUGAGGCAGAGACCAAGGCUGUGUGACAUUUCUUAUUUUCUUCUAAGUCCAAGAAUGUAUUUCUGGUCAAUGAAAAUAAUGCUGUAUCACCUGUUCAUGUAAUUUAGACAUGUUCAACUGAAAUGCAGCAUCUGUGUCAAAAAUGUUCCUCCAGUGCAUAUGAAUAAAUUUAAUUUACUACA